UACCCACUCAAAGAGAUAUAUCUCACUUUCCAUGAGGGAGUUGUUGGUAUUCGAUCGACCAGCAACAGUCUCCAACAUGACCACCCCGAAUGCAAAAAUAUCUACCUUUUCUGUCAAACGACCUCUCAUUGCAUACUCCGGAGCUAGAUAGCCACUUGAAAAAGGUCAAACAAGUUUAAGAGCAGCUUUAAUUUUGAGAUUCCAUCCAUAAGAAGAGAAAAUGGUAAAUUGUACUUACAAUGUGCCUGCAAUUCUUGUGCUCACAUGAGUCUGCUUCUCAUCAUAGAGUUUAGCGAGUCCAAAAUCAGAGAUUUUUGGGGUGAGAUCCGUAUCAAGUAGGACAUUGCUGGCUUUUAUGUCCCUAUGCACGAUGCGCACAUUCGACUCCUCGUGAAGAUAAGUUAUGCCCCUUGCAAUGCCUAAAAUAAUCUCAAAGCGCAUUGCCCAGUCUAGGUUUAAGUUGUUGUCUCCUGUACAUUAAAAAAAUCUCGAUAAAGCCUCAAGAA
This 506-nucleotide small RNA is filed under the name Oryza sativa Japonica Group (Japanese rice). RNAcentral describes it as "sRNA Os05g0256801". Lineage: Eukaryota; Viridiplantae; Streptophyta; Magnoliopsida; Poales; Poaceae. The record is from RNAcentral.